AAAAAAAAAAAAAAAAGAUUGUUUAUUUGGAUUUGUUUAAUUGAAAUUUUUAAAAUUUCUUGAUUGAUUGGUGCUGGAUUGUUCAUCUUUAGACCGUAAAUGAUGCCACAUAUUGUUCAUCUAGAUUUGUUUGAUUGAACUUUUGUUGAAAUUAUUUAAAUUUCUAGAUUGGUUGUUUUUGGGUUAUUCAUGGGUGAAGAUGUGUUAUUUGGUUGGGCAUGUCUUCCUUUCAUUCUUUGAAACUGAUCGGUUAAAAUCAAACAUUUGUUAGUUUGGUUCGGUUUGGUUAUACCUAUAUUAUUGGUUCGGUUCGGUUCAGAUUUAUUAUGAAAUUUGGUUUUCGGUUUUUUCAG
Molecule: unclassified non-coding RNA, 353 nt
Filed under: Hevea brasiliensis (rubber tree)
Lineage: Eukaryota; Viridiplantae; Streptophyta; Magnoliopsida; Malpighiales; Euphorbiaceae
Source: RNAcentral